UACGGGGGGGGCAAGCGUUGUUCGGAAUUACUGGGCGUAAAGGGCUCGUAGGCGGCCAACUAAGUCAGACGUGAAAUCCCUCGGCUUAACCGGGGAACUGCAUCUGAUACUGGAUGGCUUGAGUUCGGGAGAGGGAUGCGGAAUUCCAGGUGUAGCGGUGAAAUGCGUAGAUAUCUGGAGGAACACCGGUGGCGAAGGCGGCAGCCUGGACCGACACUGACGCUGAGGAGCGAAAGCCAGGGGAGCAAACGGG
This 253-nucleotide ribosomal RNA is filed under the name uncultured bacterium. RNAcentral describes it as "partial 16S ribosomal RNA". It matches the Rfam family "Bacterial small subunit ribosomal RNA", at positions 524 to 776 of the family's 1533-position model. The record is from RNAcentral.